Molecule: ribosomal RNA, 119 nt
Filed under: Pteropus alecto (black flying fox)
Lineage: Eukaryota; Metazoa; Chordata; Mammalia; Chiroptera; Pteropodidae
Source: RNAcentral
GUCUAUGACCAUGCCACCAUGAACAAGCCUGAUCCCGUCUGAUCUUGGAAGCUAAGCAGGUUCGGGCCUGCUUAGUACUUGGAUGGGAGACCACCUGGGAAGGCCAGGUGCUGUAAGCA